GCCCGGAUAGCUCAGUGGUAGAGCAACUCCAUGGUAAGGAGUAGGUCGUCGGUUCAAAUCCGAUUCCGGGCU
This 72-nucleotide transfer RNA is filed under the name Berkelbacteria bacterium GW2011_GWE1_39_12. RNAcentral's name for it is "tRNA-Thr". It matches the Rfam family "tRNA". Rfam says of the family: Transfer RNA (tRNA) molecules are approximately 80 nucleotides in length. Their secondary structure includes four short double-helical elements and three loops (D, anti-codon, and T loops). Lineage: Bacteria; Candidatus Berkelbacteria. The record is from RNAcentral.